RNAcentral lists this transfer RNA (71 nucleotides) under bovine gut metagenome. It matches the Rfam family "tRNA". From Rfam's summary of the family: Transfer RNA (tRNA) molecules are approximately 80 nucleotides in length. The record is from RNAcentral.
GAGGUUUAGCUCAGUUGGGAGAGCAUCUGCCUUACAAGCAGAGGGUCGGGGGUUCGAGUCCCUCAACCUCC